This 464-nucleotide small RNA is filed under the name uncultured Glomus. Its description in RNAcentral is "SSU rRNA". It matches the Rfam family "Eukaryotic small subunit ribosomal RNA", at positions 569 to 1039 of the family's 1831-position model. Lineage: Eukaryota; Fungi; Glomeromycota; Glomeromycetes; Glomerales; Glomeraceae. The record is from RNAcentral.
AGCAGCCGCGGUAAUUCCAGCUCCAAUAGCGUAUAUUAAAGUUGUUGCAGUUAAAAAGCUCGUAGUUGAAUUUCGGGAUCAAGGGAUCGGUCAUGCCUUGGUAUGUACUGGUCUUAUUGGUUCUCACCUUCUAAAGAACCAUGAUGUCAUUCAUUUGAUGUUAUGGGGAAUUAGGACUGUUACCUUGAAAAAUUAGAGUGUUUAAAGCAAGCUUACGCUUGAAUACAUUAGCAUGGAAUAAUGAAAUAGGACAUCAGAUUCUAUUUUGUUGGUUUCUAGGAUCGAUGUAAUGAUUAAUAGGGAUAGUUGGGGGCAUUAGUAUUCAAUUGUCAGAGGUGAAAUUCUUGGAUUUAUUGAAGACUAACUACUGCGAAAGCAUUUGCCAAGGAUGUUUUCAUUAAUCAAGAACGAAAGUUAGGGGAUCGAAGACGAUCAGAUACCGUCGUAGUCUUAACCAUAAACUA